AGCCCUUCUGGCGUAGUUAGUUAUCGCAUCCCCCUACAUGUCACAACAUAUUUCGGAGAAGGUCUUGGGUCCGAUCCCCAAGGAUGCUA
This 89-nucleotide transfer RNA is filed under the name Gomphillus americanus. RNAcentral's name for it is "tRNA-Cys". The record is from RNAcentral. Lineage: Eukaryota; Fungi; Ascomycota; Lecanoromycetes; Ostropales; Graphidaceae.